GGGGGAUGAAGGGAGCUUGCUCCUGGAUUCAGCGGCGGACGGGUGAGUAAUGCCUAGGAAUCUGCCUGGUAGUGGGGGAUAACGUCCGGAAACGGGCGCUAAUACCGCAUACGUCCUGAGGGAGAAAGUGGGGGAUCUUCGGACCUCACGCUAUCAGAUGAGCCUAGGUCGGAUUAGCUAGUUGGUGGGGUAAAGGCCUACCAAGGCGACGAUCCGUAACUGGUCUGAGAGGAUGAUCAGUCACACUGGAACUGAGACACGGUCCAGACUCCUACGGGAGGCAGCAGUGGGGAAUAUUGGACAAUGGGCGAAAGCCUGAUCCAGCCAUGCCGCGUGUGUGAAGAAGGUCUUCGGAUUGUAAAGCACUUUAAGUUGGGAGGAAGGGCAGUAAGUUAAUACCUUGCUGUUUUGACGUUACCAACAGAAUAAGCACCGGCUAACUUCGUGCCAGCAGCCGCGGUAAUACGAAGGGUGCAAGCGUUAAUCGGAAUUACUGGGCGUAAAGCGCGCGUAGGUGGUUCAGCAAGUUGGAUGUGAAAUCCCCGGGCUCAACCUGGGAACUGCAUCCAAAACUACUGAGCUAGAGUACGGUAGAGGGUGGUGGAAUUUCCUGUGUAGCGGUGAAAUGCGUAGAUAUAGGAAGGAACACCAGUGGCGAAGGCGACCACCUGGACUGAUACUGACACUGACGUGCGAAACCGUGGGGAGCAAACAGGAUUAGAUACCCUCGUCCCUCCACGCCGUACACUAUGUCAACUACCC
Molecule: ribosomal RNA, 762 nt
Filed under: Pseudomonas aeruginosa
Lineage: Bacteria; Pseudomonadati; Pseudomonadota; Gammaproteobacteria; Pseudomonadales; Pseudomonadaceae
Description: bacterial SSU rRNA
Rfam family: Bacterial small subunit ribosomal RNA
Source: RNAcentral